Molecule: long non-coding RNA, 799 nt
Organism: Acanthaster planci (crown-of-thorns starfish)
Lineage: Eukaryota; Metazoa; Echinodermata; Asteroidea; Valvatida; Acanthasteridae
Source: RefSeq, a predicted model, not a curated record
UUUUUAUCCCGAUGGAGGGCGUUAUUUACUUCCGAAUUUUAAUUCCCGCGGAAUGCAAGAUUGACAACCGGAGUUACAACAUGUGCAAGACGAGCAUGUCUCGUAGCAUGGAGGCGUUUUCCGUCUGACACGGGUAGCACAUCCGACAUGUCCGAAUCUACAUUUGUAAUGUCUGUCAAGGUGUUGAAGGCGAUAGCAGCUUUGUUGGUCCCCUGCCUGUGAGCUCAUCUUCUGGCAUCACUGCCCUGAUAGAGUAAGGCGGUAGCAGCUUGGUUGGUCCCCUGCCUAUGAGCUCAUCUUCUGGCAUCACUACCCUGAGUAAUAGAGUAACCCAAUUGCAGCUUGGUUGGUCCCGUGCCUGUGGGCUCAUCUUCUGGCAUCACUGCCCUGAUAGAGUAAGGCGAUAGCAGUUUGGUUGGUCCCCUGCCUUUGGGCUCAUCUUCUUGCAUCAUUGUUCUGAUAAAAUUUGGGAAGGCCUCAUUGCCAGCUGAAUGUACUGCCAUGGCUGCUUACACGAAGGAUGAGGCUGGCUAGCGUCAUGGUGCGAGUGGACUGACCGAUGAAAUCUCCAAAGUGAAGAGGCAGGUUACGUCAGAAGUAGCACAGAACAACAUGGAAGCUGUGCUGAUGAGAAGAGCGCCCUCGCCUCCUUCAAUGAGGAGAGAAGCAAGAUGGAGGACAAGAUCUUAUGGGACUUCCCAGAUAUGGUUCAUGAGAAUGCCAAGGAGAGGAAGUAACUCAGAUAGAUGCCAGUCCUCGCCUCUGUCACUGAGGAGGAACAGUUUCCAAGAUUGCAUGA